RNA transcript from Etheostoma cragini (Arkansas darter), 3000 nucleotides. It is a transcript of the gene named zinc finger protein 710-like, with no coding region annotated. The record is from RefSeq and is a predicted model, not a curated record. Lineage: Eukaryota; Metazoa; Chordata; Actinopteri; Perciformes; Percidae. The transcript has 6 exons.
AUGCUGACUUGUUGGAAGAAUAUUUGUUUGUUUGUGUCUGGUCUGGCUGGUGUGACCAGAGUCCCUGCCGAAACUGUGUUGAAGAAGAAGACGAAGCUGGGUGGAGGCGGGCAAUGUUAGCCCCGCCUCCCCUCAUCCCUCACAUAUAAAUCGGAGGCGAACGUAGCCUGUUCUCACUCAACACUCGCAUGAAGAAUGAGAUCCUUAAAGCACCUGAAACCUCACAGCAGGAGGAGUGUGGAGGAGGCGAGCCGGCGCCUGGGUAGAUGUGAGCCCAAGGUAAUGGCCAGGCUGGUGGACAUAGGCACACAGACAGACCCCGUAGUCGUGCUGUCCCUGGCCCAGGCCGCCGUGCUAGGUCUCAUCUCCCAGAAUGAAGUGUUUGGCGCUACCAUUGCACCCAACGGCUUCUACACCGGCGAACCCAAAGAGUCCCCUGCACCACCAGUAGACGGCGUUGACUACGAGUACGCAGACCAGCUUAUUGGAGCCAACGGAGAUUAUUUGGGAGACAACUUGGGAGAAGACGGACAGAUGCAACCCAGUUGCAGUCAGAGGAGGUGGCAGCAGGGGCCCCCUCAACAUCCAGAUGCAAAAAUGGUGGGCCCCGAUCGUCACAGCCUUCAAGGCGGUGACGUGUCCUCAUCCCAUGUGUCCUCUUCCCAUGUGAAAGGGGAAGUGGUGAACUCUGCAAUGUCCUCCUGUGUCCACAUGCUUAACAAUCUGGCUCCCAGAGGUGGGUUGGUACAAGUGGAUCCAGCCACCCUCAGAAGUAACAACAAGAACUGUGUGGAGUGUGAGCGGGAAGCAUCCAACCAGCCGCAAGCCAACACGCACGGUCACCCUCCUCCCCCCCAGGUGAGCCACAGAGGAGGGGAGCAGGGCCACAGAGGACUGCAAAGCCAGCGCCCUAUGGGGGGCCACAGCCGAGGUGGCAGAGAGGACGAAGAAGAUGUAGAGCACCAGGGGAACAACAUGAUGAAGCCCACCCAGCAGGACGAAGCCAUCAGCAGCUACUUCCAGACCAGCGAAGUGGGCAGCUAUGAUUCGGCCGAAAUGGGCAUGGCGGGCGAGUACGAAGACAGCAGCCAGAACAUGAUGUGGACGGAUGGGAAUGCAGGAGCGCAGCAUCAGCAGCCCCCCCACCCUCAGCCUCCCCGUCGCCACGGCGGCCGCAGAGUGGACCGGCUAGAUAUCAAUAUCCAGAUUGAUGAAUCGUACUGCGUAGAUGUGGGAGAUGGUCUGAAGCGCUGGAAGUGUCGCAUGUGUGAUAAAUCGUACACCUCCAAAUACAACUUGGUCACGCACAUCCUGGGCCACAAUGGCAUCAAACCACACGCCUGUCCACAUUGCGGGAAACUCUUCAAGCAGCCCAGUCAUCUUCAAACCCACCUGCUGACCCACCAGGGCACGCGUCCCCACAAAUGCACCGUCUGCAAGAAGGGCUUCACCCAGACCAGCCACCUGAAGCGACACAUGCUCCAACACACUGACGUCAAGCCCUACAGCUGCCGUUUCUGCCGCCGCGGCUUUGCUUAUCCCAGCGAGCUGCGAGCGCACGAGGUGAAGCACGAGCGCGGACGUUGUCAUGUCUGCUCUCAGUGUGGCAUGGAGUUCCCCACCUACGCCCACCUCAAACGUCACCAAACCAGCCACCAGGGCCCCCACACCUUCCAGUGCACUGAGUGCAACAAGUCGUUCGCCUACCGCAGCCAGCUCCAGAACCACCUGCUGAAGCACCAGAGCCCGAGGCCUUACACCUGCUCCCAGUGCGGCCUGGAGUUUGUGCAGCUCCACCACCUACGUCAGCACUCGCUCACUCAUAAGGGGAUGAAAGGCCACAAAUGUGACGUGUGUUCCCGGGAGUUCACCCUGUCGGCCAACCUGAAGAGGCACAUGCUGAUCCACAACAGCGUCAGACCGUUCCAGUGUCACGUCUGCUUCAAGAGCUUCAUCCAGAAACAGACACUUAAGACCCACAUGAUAGUCCACCUGCCUGUGAAGCCAUUCAAAUGCAAGGUAUGUGGCAAGUCGUUCAACAGAAUGUACAACCUGCUGGGCCACAUGCAUCUUCAUGCUGGCAGUAAGCCCUUCAAAUGUCCCUACUGCACCAGUAAGUUCAACCUGAAGGGAAACCUCAGCAGGCACAUGAAAGUCAAGCACGGAAUGGACGUCUCACCAGAAGGACAAGUUUGAGAUGGAUUGGGUGAUGUCAUGUACCUUCACGCAGAAUUUAUCCACAUUUGAUAAUCUGAUGACAGUUAUGGGAUUGCCUGCUUAUGGAGCCUGGCCACUGUCAAUCAAAUCUGAUCAAAUCUCACCCGCACAAAGUUCUUCCAGAAAUGGAUAGCCAGGGGGAGUAUGAAGGACAGAACUUCAGCUUUACAUCACCAGACAAUAUGGACAAUGGUGGCUCCCAAAACCUCACUAAACUCACUACAGCAAACAUGGAGGACAUGGAGGAGUAUUACAAUUUCGGGAAGGAUACAAGCAGCUACGCUACACCUUGAGUGGUGAUUAACUGUUGAUCUUUUUUUGUUUUGUGAAGACAGAAAGAAAUUACAGAGUUGUUGUCAAGGCUUUGGGAGACACUGGGGACAGGGAUUGUUUUGGUUUGGGCCUCCUUCCAGAAGAGCCAAAACUGAUGGACUCUGAUGGGAGACCGGGAAGGAGACGCACUUCGAGGGACACGUUUUAGUUCUGUUGCUAUGGCAGAGACCCUGAAACUGCUGACGCUGGUCAGGAGCUCCUUAUUUUUUGGGGAUUACUGCGCCUUCCGUCUCAAAGACUCUCACUGGCAGAUAGUAUGUUGUGUGUAUGUAUCUGUUAUUUGAAGAAGAAAAAAAGAAAAGAAAAAAAGUUGCAGAAUCAUCAGUUACAUUUGAUGUGAUAGAAAUAUGUUUACCAUUUUUGCCAUGUUUAUUGUCAUCCACAACCAAUGUAUGCCCUUAUAUUUUUGACUGAAAGUGCCAGCUAGAUACAUGUGCAACUAAGCUUCCA